UGGAGUCUGAUGACCAAGGGCAGGAAGCAUCCAGCACGGGACAAAGAAGAAAGCCAGAAGACUCAGCAAGCCAGCUCAUCUCACUUUCUUCUGCCUACUUUGUUGUAGCUGAGCUGGCAGCCAGUUGGAUGGUGCACACUCACAUUGAGGAUUGGGAGGCUGCUGUGUAUGGAUAAGAUACCUGCUACAGCCAGCUUGACACCAUGAGAAGGACAAGAGAAUUGCAGAGACACAUAUCCAGGAUUCUGAUCCAGUUGAGGCACUGAAAUAAUCUAGAACCACCUUCAAAUUUCUUAUAAAGAGAGGCUUAGAUCCUUUAUGGAGCCAGCACACACACGUCAGGCAAAAGGCAUAUACUUCACACCUUGAAGAGAAGACAGGGCCUUAUCUACUUAUACUUUUCAUCUAGUCCUCAACUUGCUGCUUCUUCCCCUUGACCUUGGUGAUUCCUAAGACAGCUAUGCUAUUAGGAUUUAAUUAAAUGGAUGCCAACAGCAAGUAAACCAUCUCCAAAGAUGCCAUGAAGCUCUCCUAAUUGCAGGAAAAUAUCAGAGGCACUUGAUUUGAGUCUUUCAAGUACGGAAAUAACAAAUUCAGUCUCAACAGACCUAUAGUGAAUGAGAAUGAUUGUCACAUAAUGUGUAGAGAAAAUGGAAGAAUCAAAGGCAAGGGAAACCUGUACAGUGGAGACACAAAGGGUCACUGGCAGAUUUCAAAUGAUCCAAGACAUCCUCAAGGAAGAUUUACCACAAGUUACUUUAUCAUAGCUUUGAGUGGCAUUUUAAUAUCAUAUUUUAAAAGAAAGAAAACAAUAGAAAUGUAUUAAAAUAUCUUCUCAAGAAUCCUUCCAAACCACAAGGAAAAUCACCAGGCCAAAAGUGAGGUUUGAAGUCUGGACAUGUACUGGUUUUCUCUAGCAAUCGACUCUCAAUUUUUGGACAUUGAGAUCUGCUGGUUGGAGAUCUUAGUGCCCAAGGAAGAAUGCUUGCAAAAGGAGAUGGAACAGUGUUUCUGUUGCAUUGGCCACUGAGAAUAUCUGGUUAUUUUGAAUUUGUCACAGUCUGCAGCUAAAAGGCGAACAGGAAAAGAAGAGAGAGCGGUAAUUUGAAUGAUAGCAGAUUUCACAUCAGGAACCAAUGAAGCUAGAUAAGAAUGCAACAUCUUUGAUGUCUAAAAGAAACAAAAAGCCAACCUUGAAUUCUUUAUUUAGUGAAGUUACCCUUCAGAAAUGACGGCAAAAUAAAGAUGUUUUCCAAUAAAAGACAACUAUGAGAAUUCUUCACCAGCAGUCCUAUUGUAUCAGAACAGCCAAAAGAAGUUUGUCAGCCUACAGGGAAUUAUAUCAAAGGGAAGACUUGACCUUGAAAAUGAAUGAGGAAUAUAAGAAAUUGAUAUUAUCUGGGAAGCGGCACAUGAGACUAGCAGGAGUAAAUGUUAUAUACACUGGGCCUCGCAAAAAUUCUGCAAUCACUGGGAAUCAGUAACCUGGUAGAAUGAGAAAACAACGUAAUACUGAAAAAUCAAAACACCAUCCUACAGAACUUUGAUGCAUUCAGAACAAAGAUCACGAAUCAAGCUGAAAAAGUAAAGCAUUCUGUGAGUUGUGGAAUGGAAAUUGCCUCAACCAUCUCACCACUUGAUGACACUUGUAAUUUCAGUGACCCAAUUCAAGCAAUCAAACAUCAAGUAAUACUCUCAAUAAAGAUGUGUAAUUAAAACAGAAGAGGAAACAGACUAACAGAAGUGAUGAAGAAUGGCAGUUCUAAGGAUGGCAGGAAUUCACUGAAUGUCUAUCUAUCAUGUAUGCUGUUGGAGGCACCUGUCUUUCAGUUCAGAGGUUAUGGAUGUAUCUAUCAUCAGUAUUUCGGGAAGUCAGGGACCCGGAACAGAGGGACUUAAUGAAGCUGUGGCAGAAGAAAAAAUUAUGAAGAUUUCAUGGACAUUUAUUAGUUCCCCAAAUUAAUACUUUUAUAAUUUCUUACA
RNAcentral lists this long non-coding RNA (1983 nucleotides) under Homo sapiens (human). Its description in RNAcentral is "HSALNT0308605". Lineage: Eukaryota; Metazoa; Chordata; Mammalia; Primates; Hominidae. The record is from RNAcentral.